Molecule: ribosomal RNA, 253 nt
Filed under: uncultured bacterium
Lineage: Bacteria
Description: partial 16S ribosomal RNA
Rfam family: Bacterial small subunit ribosomal RNA
Source: RNAcentral
UACGUAGGGGGCAAGCGUUGUCCGGAUUUAUUGGGCGUAAAGAGCGUGUAGGCGGCUUGGUAGGUCCGCUGUGAAAACUCGAGGCUCAACCUCGAGACGUCGGCGGAAACCAUCUAGCUAGAGUCCGGAAGAGGAGAGCGGAAUUCCUGGUGUAGCGGUGAAAUGCGCAGAUAUCAGGAAGAACACCCGUGGCGAAGGCGGCUCUCUGGGACGGUACUGACGCUGAGACGCGAAAGCGUGGGGAGCGAACAGG